RNAcentral lists this ribosomal RNA (445 nucleotides) under uncultured organism. RNAcentral's name for it is "partial 16S ribosomal RNA". It matches the Rfam family "Bacterial small subunit ribosomal RNA", at positions 334 to 796 of the family's 1533-position model. The record is from RNAcentral.
CACUCCUACGGGAGGCAGCAGUGGGGAAUAUUGGACAAUGGGCGCAAGCCUGAUCCAGCCAUGCCGCGUGAGUGAUGAAGGCCCUAGGGUUGUAAAGCUCUUUCACCGGUGAAGAUAAUGACGGUAACCGGAGAAGAAGCCCCGGCUAACUUCGUGCCAGCAGCCGCGGUAAUACGAAGGGGGCUAGCGUUGUUCGGAUUUACUGGGCGUAAAGCGCACGUAGGCGGACUAUUAAGUCAGGGGUGAAAUCCCGGGGCUCAACCCCGGAACUGCCUUUGAUACUGGUAGUCUUGAGUUCGAGAGAGGUGAGUGGAAUUCCGAGUGUAGAGGUGAAAUUCGUAGAUAUUCGGAGGAACACCAGUGGCGAAGGCGGCCCACUGGCUCGAUACUGACGCUGAGGUGCGAAAGCGUGGGGAGCAAACAGGAUUAGAUACCCUAGUAGUCC